GACCAAGAGUACUUUAAGGAUUAAGACCUGCAACAGUGAUCACCUUCUCUCUCUUCACUCUCUCAGCUUCAACUAUUGAGUCUUUCUUGUAAUCACUUGUGGUACUCCAGACUAAGAUGUAUUUUCCUCUUCCCUACUUUGAAUAGUUGUGGACAUGAUGAUCCAGAGGCGUGAAUGUAACCGUAUGGUUGCAUUGCCGACCGAGUCGCGCUCCAAAUUAUCACGUUUUGGACCCGCAGCUUGACAAUUUUUAUUAGCUUCUACUUCUAACAUGAUUUAGAGGAUAGACAGGUCUAGUAUGGAGAUGCCUUGCAGUCGGAGUGUAUUACAGAUGGAGUAGAAGAGCAACCUGAAGCUUAGUCUUUUCUUUUCGUAGUUGCUGAUGGAUAUUAGAUUAAUCAUAUAGUACAUUCUCUUUUAGUAUUUGAGGGAUUUAGUUAUUUUUGUAGUACUUCCUUUCAUUUCUGUUGGACUAUGUAUUUUUCAUAUUUUGUUGGACUAUUUUGUAAUAAGGGCAUGUUUGACCCAAACUUUGUGUUU
Molecule: long non-coding RNA, 540 nt
Organism: Asparagus officinalis (garden asparagus)
Lineage: Eukaryota; Viridiplantae; Streptophyta; Magnoliopsida; Asparagales; Asparagaceae
Exons: 3
Source: RefSeq, a predicted model, not a curated record